UGGCGCUCUGGAGCUUGAGUUGCGGUCCUGCGCCGCGAGGUGUCUGGAUCCCGCUUCCCAACGCAUCUGCAGGUGGCUAUGUCGCACCCGUCCCCCCAAGCUAAACUCUCCAACCCCAGUAAUCCCCGAGUCUUCUUUGACGUGGACAUCGGAGGGGAGCGAGUUGGUCGAAUUGUCAUAGAAUUGUUUGCAGAUAUUGUACCCAAAACUGCAGAAAAUUUUCGUGCAUUAUGUACAGGAGAAAAAGGGAUCGGAUCUAUGACUGGGAAACUUCCCUAUUUCAAAGGAUGCCCUUUCCAUCGAAUUAUUAAAAAAAUUAUGAUUUAGGGUGGAGAUUUCUCAAAUCAGGAUGGAACAGGUGGAGAAAGUAUUUAUGGUGAAAAAUUUGAAGAUGAAAAUUUCUAUUAUAAGCAUGAUCGCGAGGGUUUAUUGAGCACGGCAAAUGCAGGCCGAAAUACAAAUGGUUCUCAGUUCUUUAUCACAACAGUUCCAACUCCUCAUUUGGAUGGGAAACAUGUGGUGUUUGGCCAAGUAAUUAAAGGAAUAGGUGUGGCAAGGAUACUGGAAAACGUAGAAGUGCAAGGUGAAAAACCUGCCAAAUUGUGCGUUAUUGCAGAAUGUGGAGAAUUGAAGGAAGGGGAUGAUUGGGGUAUAUUCCCCAAAGAUGGCUCUGGCGACAGUCAUCCAGAUUUCCCUGAGGAUGCAGAUACUGAUUUAAAGGAUGUAGCUAAAAUUUUAUUAAUAACAGAAGACUUAAAAAACAUUGGAAAUAAUCUUUUCAAAUCCCAGGACUGGAAAAUGGCCAUUAAAAUAUAUGCAAAAGUUUUAAGGUAUGUGGAUGGUUCAAAGGCUGUUAUUGAGAAAGCCGAUAGAUCUAAACUACAACCUAUAGCUUUAAGCUGUGUACUCAAUAUUGGUGCUUGUAAACUGAAGAUGUGGAAUUGGCAGGGAGCAAUUGACAGUUGUCUGGAGGCUCUUGAAAUAGACCCAUCAAAUACCAAAGCUCUAUACUGCAAAGCUCAAGGGUGGCAAGGAUUAAAAGAAUAUGAUCAAGCAUUGGCUGAUCUUAAAAAGGCUCAAGAGAUAGCACCAGAAGAUAAAGCUAUCCAGGCAGAAUUACUGAAAGUCAAACAGAAGAUAAAGGCACAGAAAGAUAAAGAGAAAGCAGUAUAUGCAAAAAUGUUUGCUUAAUAAGGAUUGUUUUGCUUAAAUAUUACAUGUUAAUUGUAUAAAGGUAAUAAGGAAAUGUAAGGGGGUUGGUCUGUUAUAUAUGAUCCCUAAUGUGUUUCCUUUGACACCACAGUUCCCCAUUGUUUACAGUUUAGGAGUACUGAUAGCGGUUUACUCUUAAUAAAAAUAUUUCAGUACAUUAAAGCUUUUUUUAAUGGUCAUCUGCAUUAUUUACAAAGAAUAAUGGUAUCUAGUUUGUUUUUAAACUCCUAAAGACACUUGUCGAAUUAAUAGAUGAAAGCUUAAGUUUAUAUUUUUGUAUUGUUUCCCUCAAUUCUUUGAUGUAUCUGUGGUUAGUUUGUGCUGGUGUUUUACACUUGUAGAUAAUAAAUGUAUACCUGUUCAGGGUGGCCAGACUUUUUUGGCCGAGGGCCAGGUAAUAUUUAGGUUUUGUAUUCCAUCAGUCUGUCACAAUUACUCAACUCUGCAGUAGUAACUCAAAAUUAGCCAUAAACAAUGUGUAACCAGUGGGUAUGGCUGUGUUUCAAUAAAACUAUUUAUAAUAUGCAGUGAGCUGGAUACUGACCUCUGGUUUAGAAUGUAUGUUCAUUUUUAUAUUUGAGACUUAAAUUUGGAAAGUCAUGUGUAUAAUAAAGUCCAACA
This is an RNA transcript of Nycticebus coucang (slow loris), 1833 nucleotides long. It is a transcript of the gene named peptidyl-prolyl cis-trans isomerase D-like, with no coding region annotated. The record is from RefSeq and is a predicted model, not a curated record. The transcript has a single exon. Lineage: Eukaryota; Metazoa; Chordata; Mammalia; Primates; Lorisidae.